RNAcentral lists this ribosomal RNA (104 nucleotides) under Salmonella enterica. The record is from RNAcentral. Lineage: Bacteria; Pseudomonadati; Pseudomonadota; Gammaproteobacteria; Enterobacterales; Enterobacteriaceae.
UGCGCGGGGGGCCCCCCUGACCCCAUGCCGAACUCAGAAGUGAAACGCCGUAGCGCCGAUGGUAGUGUGGGGUCUCCCCAUGCGAGAGUAGGGAACUGCCAGGC